CUGCUUUUGUACGGGAAGAAACCCCACUACGUGUAGUGGGUUGACGGUACCGUGAGAAUAAGGAUCGGCUAACUUCGUGCCAGCAGCCGCGGUAAUACGAAGGAUCCAAGCGUUGUCCGGAUUUACUGGGUUUAAAGGGUGCGUAGGCGGACUUUUAAGUCAGUGGUGAAAGCCUGCAGCUUAACUGUAGAAUUGCCAUUGAAACUGAUUGUCUCGAGUGCGGUUGAGGUCACUGGAAUGUAUCAUGUAGCGGUGAAAUGCUUAGAUAUGAUACAGAACACCAAUUGCGAAGGCAGGUGACUAAGCCGUAACUGACGCUGAUGCACG
RNAcentral lists this ribosomal RNA (327 nucleotides) under uncultured Bacteroidota bacterium. Its description in RNAcentral is "bacterial SSU rRNA". It matches the Rfam family "Bacterial small subunit ribosomal RNA", at positions 430 to 755 of the family's 1533-position model. Lineage: Bacteria; Pseudomonadati; Bacteroidota. The record is from RNAcentral.